GGAGGGGGCUAGCGUUGUUCGGAAUUACUGGGCGUAAAGAGUGCGUAGGCGGUUUAGUAAGUUGGAAGUGAAAGCCCGGGGCUUAACCUCGGAAUUGCUUUCAAAACUACUAAUCUAGAGUGUAGUAGGGGAUGAUGGAAUUCCUAGUGUAGAGGUGAAAUUCUUAGAUAUUAGGAGGAACACCGGUGGCGAAGGCGAUCAUCUGGGCUACAACUGACG
RNAcentral lists this ribosomal RNA (219 nucleotides) under Rickettsia sp. IXLI1. Its description in RNAcentral is "partial 16S ribosomal RNA". It matches the Rfam family "Bacterial small subunit ribosomal RNA", at positions 527 to 745 of the family's 1533-position model. The record is from RNAcentral. Lineage: Bacteria; Pseudomonadati; Pseudomonadota; Alphaproteobacteria; Rickettsiales; Rickettsiaceae.